AUUGAACGCUGGCGGCAUGCCUUACACAUGCAAGUCGAACGGCAGCACGGGAGCAAUCCUGGUGGCGAGUGGCGAACGGGUGAGUAAUAUAUCGGAACGUGCCCAGUCGUGGGGGAUAACGUAGCGAAAGCUACGCUAAUACCGCAUACGAUCUAUGGAUGAAAGCGGGGGAUCGCAAGACCUCGCGCGAUUGGAGCGGCCGAUAUCAGAUUAGGUAGUUGGUGAGGUAAAGGCUCACCAAGCCGACGAUCUGUAGCUGGUCUGAGAGGACGACCAGCCACACUGGGACUGAGACACGACCCAGACUCCUACGGGAGGCAGCAGUGGGGAAUUUUGGACAAUGGGCGCAAGCCUGAUCCAGCAAUGCCGCGUGCAGGAUGAAGGCCUUCGGUU
Molecule: ribosomal RNA, 393 nt
Filed under: uncultured bacterium
Lineage: Bacteria
Description: bacterial SSU rRNA
Rfam family: Bacterial small subunit ribosomal RNA
Source: RNAcentral